GAUGAACGCUGACAGAAUGCUUAACACAUGCAAGUCAACUUGAACUUCGGUUUGGGUGGCGGACGGGUGAGUAACGCGUAAAGAACUUGCCUCACAGCUAGGGACAACAUUUGGAAACGAAUGCUAAUACCUGAUAUUAUGAUUAUAUGGCAUCGUAUAAUUAUGAAAGCUAUAUGCGCUGUGAGAGAGCUUUGCGUCCCAUUAGCUAGUUGGAGAGGUAACGGCUCACCAAGGCGAUGAUGGGUAGCCGGCCUGAGAGGGUGAUCGGCCACAAGGGGACUGAGACACGGCCCUUACUCCUACGGGAGGCAGCAGUGGGGAAUAUUGGACAAUGGACCGAGAGUCUGAUCCAGCAAUUCUGUGUGCACGAUGAAGUUUUUCGGAAUGUAAAGUGCUUUCAGUUGGGAAGAAAAAAAUGACGGUACCAACAGAAGAAGUGACGGCUAAAUACGUGCCAGCAGCCGCGGUAAUACGUAUGUCACGAGCGUUAUCCGGAUUUAUUGGGCGUAAAGCGCGUCUAGGUGGUUAUGUAAGUCUGAUGUGAAAAUGCAGGGCUCAACUCUGUAUUGCGUUGGAAACCGUAUAACUAGAGUACUGGAGAGGUAAGCGGAACUACAAGUGUAGAGGUGAAAUUCUUAGAUAUUUGUAGGAAUGCCUAUGGGGGAAGCCUGCUUUACUGGAUUGAUACUGGCUCUUGAAUCGCGAAUGUGUGGUGUGCGACAUGGAUUAUAUACCCUGGUAGGCCCAGGGCGAAUUCUGCGGUGGAUGUGAGUGUAUCUAUGCUGUCGACCUGCGUGGGGGAACAAAAAAAACAAAAUUAUAUUCCUUUAGUGGGGUUGUAUUUGCUGUUGUUGCUGUAUGCUGUAAUGAUGUCUUUUGCUUGUUGUGUGUUGUGUUGUUGUCUUGUGUUGUGGUGUAUUGUGUGCUGCUGUGUUAUGCUGUGUCUGUUGUAGUGUGUGUGUUGUGUGUUGUGUUGUGUGUGUGUGUGUGUGCUUUGUGGUUAUGUGUUGUGUGUUUUAUUCUUGCUAUAGUAG
RNAcentral lists this ribosomal RNA (1034 nucleotides) under uncultured Neisseria sp. Its description in RNAcentral is "bacterial SSU rRNA". The stretch from base 1 to 828 matches the Rfam family "Bacterial small subunit ribosomal RNA". The record is from RNAcentral. Lineage: Bacteria; Pseudomonadati; Pseudomonadota; Betaproteobacteria; Neisseriales; Neisseriaceae.